RNAcentral lists this ribosomal RNA (885 nucleotides) under uncultured bacterium. RNAcentral describes it as "bacterial SSU rRNA". It matches the Rfam family "Archaeal small subunit ribosomal RNA", at positions 452 to 1358 of the family's 1478-position model. The record is from RNAcentral.
AUUGUGCCAGCCGCCGCGCGGUAAUACUCGCGGUCCAAGUCGCAGCCAUUUUUAUUGGGUCUAAAAUAUCCGUAGCUUGCUUCGUAAGUCCCUUGUGAAAUUUUAUGCCUUAAACAUAAAGCGUGCAAGGGGUACUGCAGAGCUAGAGACUGGGAGACGUGAGAAGUACGUUUAAAGUAGCGGUAAAAUGUGUUAAUCUUAAACGGACUAACGAGAGCGAAGGCCUCUCACGAGAACAGUUCUGACAGUCAGGGAUGAAGGCUAGGGGCGCAAAACGGAUUAGAUACCCGUGUAGUCCUAGCAGUAAACACUGCACACUAAACAUCAGUGCCUCCUCGAGAGGCGUUGGUGCUGUAGGGAAGCCGAAGAGUGUGCUACCUGGGAAGUAUAGUCGCAAGGCCGAAACUUAAAGGAAUUGGCGGGGAGACACUACAACGGGUGACGCGUGCGGUUCAAUUAGAUUCUACACCGUGAACCUCACCGGGAGCGACAGCAGGAUGAAGGUCAGUCUGAAGGGCUUACCUGACACGCUGAGAGGAGUUGCAUGGCCGACGUCAGCCUGUGCCGUGAGGUAACCUGUUAAAUCAGGUAACAGGCAAGACCCACAUGUAUAUUUGCAUUCAAUAUACAGAUUGCCUUGGUAACGAGGAUGAAAGUGUGGGCUACGUUAGGUGAGUACAGCCUGAAUCCCCCGGGCAACACGCGCGCGUCAAUGGUGAAUACAACGGGAUGCAACACCGAAAGGUGAAGCCCAUCUCUUAAAGUUCAUCUCAGUCCAGAUCGAGGUUUGUAACUCAGCCUCGUGACGCUGGGAUCCGUAGUAAUCGUUUGUUAUCAGCGAACGGUGAAUACGUCACUGUCUCUUGCACACACCGCCCGUCAAAU